This 4258-nucleotide ribosomal RNA is filed under the name Triticum aestivum (bread wheat). RNAcentral's name for it is "partial small subunit ribosomal RNA". Lineage: Eukaryota; Viridiplantae; Streptophyta; Magnoliopsida; Poales; Poaceae. The record is from RNAcentral.
CAGGUCCAGUUACGCCGUCCCGAGCUGCAUCUCCCGCGCUGCCGAGGUCCCGCUACGUCCCUUUGUCGCCUAGACCACGUCGCCAGGCUCCACCUGACCUAGCCCCCGCUCUCCGUCCAAGAUCGCUUCCUCCCUACCUAAGCCGGCUACGCCGCUGGACGGCCUCUCGCCGUCGCCGCCCCGACCUAGGCCAGCUACCCGUUGGUGGCCUAGUCAAACCCUCGGGUCGUCGUCGCGAGGCAGGUGUGGGACCCGACCUGGCCGUCGUCGUGACGAGGGAGGGAGGAUCGGGGCGCGAUCUAACCGUCGUCGUCGCAUCUACCUAAGUUGGCGGUCGAGCCCGGUGCUUCCCGAACUGGGGUCGGUGUUUAACGGGGGUAUCUCAUACAACUGAUACAGGAUUAUACAUACGAGUUAAAACAGAAGAACAGAGUUUUUUUUCAAACAGAAGAACUAAAAAGACCGACGCCCCGUACCCUCGGUACCUAGCUAGGGUGCAUGUGUCCAUGAUGUAAUAAAAAAGCAUACGAAGAAGAUCUAAAGCAAAACUCGGCUAUUCACGCUCUACACCGUAGUGAAGAGCCGAGAUGUUUUAGGUAACGACUUCACGCACAGGACCCCAGGGUCGGAGGUAGUGAAGAAGUCAAGGGCGAUCCAAGUUCUUGUUUUUUUUAGUCACGCCUUCUGGUGAUCGUCUUAACCUACAACAUACGUGGAAGUAGAACGUCAGGUUAAUGAACCUAAUAAACCCUGUUUAAGCAAACGAAAAUUGGCAUGCUGUCAAUAUAUCGUCCUAUUCCUAUGUACGAACAUGACGGAGAUAGUGUUUAACGUGUACUCAAUUGAUCUUUCGAUCGUUAGUUAGCGGGACUUCCAUAACGAGAAAAUAAAAUAAAGUCUAGCACUCCUUUCCCCAAGUCUAUUCACUGAUGAGAUACGACAUGAUUGAUGAAAUACAACAUGACUGAUUAGAAUCUUUAUAUAAACCAGGUCCUCAUCAUGUAUCUCGUAAAGACCUAGUCUAUAUGUGUGCGAUAAGUGGAAGUAUUGGGCUAAAAAAAACGAAUACUACUACAAAUAAUAGCCUUUCGAGAACUGUUUUCGUAGUUCAUUACCCGGUUAUGAGUUUAUUGACUGAGUGGAUGUUAGAAAAAAAGAUUGCCGUCAUAAUAUAUGUGUUAUUAUUAAAAAAUGUAAAAAGAAUAACCCUCCGGACUCUGUAACGACUUCGGAAAACUUCACUAGCUAAACUCUGUGAUUUCUGAGACCUCUCGAAAACACACCUCAAACAAAGAAAACAAGACGUAUUGACACUACGGAACUACGCCCCAACAUAACACUAGACUUGAAAUCAAACCAAGCUACGCACAACUACCACGAAGUCCCAAAAGCGGAGCAUCACCCGCAAAGCUAACGCUCGCGAGUGUCGCCCAAAGGGACUUCACGAACUAGGGCGACAAAGGGAAAGGGAACAAACUUGAACCUUGACCGACAUAAAGGCAAUAUAAAAAUUACCUUUCCCCUAAUCGGGCCCAGUUUUUUUUGUAAAAAGAAUAACAACGUUUAUAUAUAGAACCAUCAAUAUUUACUAUGUAGAUAAACUAGUAGUCUACGAAUAGACAUCACAAAUCCUCUCAAAAAAACUAACCUUUACUGAAAACUAAGAACCAAGAACUCCACCAUAUAAUGAGACUUCGUGAAGUUAAGAACCGAGACCGAUUCGUAUUAUAUAAUGAAAUGAUGACUCUAAACCGAUGAUUACUAUAUACAAUGGUAACAAAAACAACAGAAACUAUCAUAUUUUCUAGCCUUCACGUAGUCGAUAGUGACGAGGACAAACAACCAUCUAAACCGUUUGGGAGAUUCAAGUAAAAGGUGCUUUUAUAUCAAACAUUGUGACCAAGCUUAAUUAUAUAACUAUAUUCAUCCCGUUAUAGGUUCAAAGAAAUAUGACUAUAUUCAAGUCUUAAACGUUGUGGUAAGAUGAUGAAUGUGUUCUCGGAACACCGAUUAGUAUGAACUAGGACACACGAGAGUAGACAUCCAUACCCAAAGUGUAGCAACAGUUAAAACUAUACAAAGUGCCCUACUUACUACGCAGUCUAAGAAGAUUUUGACGGUGAUAAGUCAUACAUAGGUAGCGUUGGGAUUCAAUACAGACAGUACGUAAGUAAUAGAAAUAAAAAACUCCGAGUUAGGUGAAAAUCGAAAACAGGAGAACCUCUGCAGGAGGAACUUGUCGAACCUAAGUCAGUAGUUCAGGUAGUAUCCAAAGACGACCUACGGGUCGUAGGCGAACGUGAAUCUGUCCCUCCCUCCCUUCCUCGACGGUAUAACUUCGUAGGGUAUAAAUACGAAUGGGGCUAGAGAUCUCAGUUCCUAGGAAGUGACUAACUUUCUACGUUUAUGACUCGAUACGAUUGAUCUCAUUACGAUAGAUGAAAUAUAGUCGCGUAAAAUAAACUAAGAACGCCAUAGAUCUGUUAUAACGUGCUGGUUUAGUAUUGUCUGGCCCACUAACUGUAAGUGGAUGGACAUUCCUAAGAGGGUCCAACAUAGAUAGCUCCUCACUCGCCUCCUCGUCCUAAUCCUCUACGGGUAACACCGGAUCGUCGACUACAGAGGGGCCACCGAAGUAUUAUACGGUCUGACGAAGAACACACAAACGUCGAACGAUUUGUAAGUAGUUUUAAUACCAAGCGAACGUGGAACAUGUUCAUACUUAAAAACGGUAUAGGGUGAAGUCCCGUAUUAAAAAAAAACUUUGCCGUCGCGUGUUUAAUUCAAAAAAAAAUAUAACCUAGCUAUAAACAUACCAACUGAAGCUGUCUUGGAAAAUGUUGGUCGAUGUAUCAUACCAUUUAGUGAUUUGACAUUACGAAGUCAGAGGGACACAAGAUUUUUAUUUUACGAACCUUGAAAAUUGAAUAGUUCGUUACUGAAAUAAAUGAGUAUACACAUAACAAACUAAGCUUCCGAUUGUUAUUGAAAACUGGUUGAUAACCCUCUGGUGAUAGAAUAGAAUCUUUGUCCUCAUAAUAAUUGAAAACUGUUUGAUAACAAUUCAUGUGAUAACCCUCAGAACUCGGUACAAACACAACAAUCCCCGUACUAAAAAAAAAGAGGGCAACGUUGUGUACCCGUAUAUAAUCCACCGUAGCGACCAGGCACAUUUUACCCAAAUUUGAACCGCUUCGAUAACUUGUUGUGAGAACGAAAGAAGACAAUCCUGGGAAAUAGUUAGUAACUCGGUGCGGUUCAAAAACUCUACCAUUACUUCGGACGGUGUAAUUUAAACAGGGAGGGGAACCAAGAAACAAUAGAUAAGAAAACUUAAGGACUUAAAAGAGACGUUUUAUUCAGAACGAAACGGUCUUCUAACUUGACAAAGAAAAGUCGAUGCUAGUAGAUUAGAGUAUAUACACAAGUAAACUUGAAUAAAUGAGAAAACUGACAACUAAACCAAACGAAACGGACUUCUAACUUGACAAAGAAAAAUGACAACUAAAUACUUGAGGUUCAUGACUACACGUAUUAAUUCGUAGACAAGUAGUCCACAGUAACAUAUACCUGUUCAGACGUCCCCAAACGGUCAGCCUGAAGGUACUAACGUUUAACAGCAAGGACGUUAAAUAUACACUAGUGCUAGAAAAACAACUCUACUGACUCUGAAACCAGCAGGAGGUGUCGCCCUACGCUGGAGGGACCUCGUCACCCAGUCCGCGUAGUAGCCUCCCCCUCUUCUAGAACAAUAGAUGUUGUUGCAACUCACUUGGCGGCAGCUUGACUUCGCGCGGAGGAUAUCGACGCUGGGACACAACCGGGACGGGCGCAUGCAGGCGAUUCUGGCCUUUGUCUCGUCUUUUCCUCAAGUUUACAGGAGAGAGACAAAAAGGAGGGAGAUCCUCCCGCAACGGCCUCGUCAAUUCGGUACGCCUCCAAACUUUUACCGUGUCCUCCGCCGGAUUCCCACCGUGCCGCAUGUUAGGGAGAUGACAGUAAAAUAUAGAGACUUAAAAAAAACGACGUACGCGUCCACAAAGUCCGUCUUUGUCAUUAUCGUAGCUGAUCCUCCUCGUUCUGUUCUUCGUUGCUGUUGAUGGUAACGACCGAUUCGAUGGAUGAUGCUACGGGCGGAGAGAAACGUUACCGGUUUCGUGUGUUGUUAGGUGUCAAACCACUUAAAAGGGGGGUGAAACCACUGUACCCUGCCUAACACCCGUUGUCGUAAAAUCUUCUUAGCCAUCAUCUUUGCACU